AGAGUUGAUCAUGGCUCAGGACGAACGCUGGCGGCGUGCCUAACACAUGCAAGUCGAGCGGAGUCGGUAAGAGGAAGUUUCGGAUGGAAUCUAUUGAUUAGCGGCGGACGGGUGAGUAACGCGUGAGCGACCAACCUUGCACAGGGGGAUAACGGACCGAAAGGUUCACUAAUACCGCAUGAGACCACGGUGUUGCAUGACACAGAGGUCAAAGGAGCAAUCCGGUGCAAGACGGGCUCGCGUCCGAUUAGGUAGUUGGAGGGGUAACGGCCCCACCAAGCCUAUGAUCGGUAGCCGACCUGAGAGGGUGAUCGGCCACAUUGGAACUGAGAUACGGUCCAAACUCCUACGGGAGGCAGCAGUGGGGAAUAUUGGGCAAUGGGGGAAACCCUGACCCAGCAACGCCGCGUGAAGGAAGAAGGUUUUCGGAUUGUAAACUUCUGUCCUUGGUGAAGAGAAGAAGACGGUAGCCAAGGAGGAAGCCCCGGCUAACUACGUGCCAGCAGCAGC
RNAcentral lists this ribosomal RNA (510 nucleotides) under uncultured bacterium. RNAcentral describes it as "bacterial SSU rRNA". It matches the Rfam family "Bacterial small subunit ribosomal RNA", at positions 8 to 518 of the family's 1533-position model. The record is from RNAcentral.